RNAcentral lists this ribosomal RNA (497 nucleotides) under uncultured bacterium. Its description in RNAcentral is "bacterial SSU rRNA". It matches the Rfam family "Bacterial small subunit ribosomal RNA", at positions 21 to 507 of the family's 1533-position model. The record is from RNAcentral.
GGCUCAGGAUGAACGCUAGCGACAGGCUUAACACAUGCAAGUCGAGGGGCAGCGGGAGUGAAGCUUGCUUCACUCGCCGGCGACCGGCGCACGGGUGCGUAACGCGUAUCGAAUCUGCCCGUUACUCGGGGAUAGCCUUGCGAAAGUAAGAUUAAUACCCGAUGUUGUCAUUAUGCCGCAUGACAUGAUGACCAAAGGUUUACCGGUAACGGAUGACGAUGCGUCUGAUUAGGUAGAUGGCGGGGUAACGGCCCACCAUGCCGACGAUCAGUAGCCGGACUGAGGGGUUGACCGGCCACAUUGGGACUGAGAUACGGCCCAGACUCCUACGGGAGGCAGCAGUGGGGAAUAUUGGUCAAUGGGCGCAAGCCUGAACCAGCCAAGUAGCGUGAGGGAAGACUGCCCUACGGGUUGUAAACCUCUUUUGUUUGGGAAUAAAGUGCGGGACGUGUCCCGCAUUGCAUGUACCAUUUGAAUAAGGACCGGCUAAUUCCGUG